This 252-nucleotide ribosomal RNA is filed under the name uncultured bacterium. RNAcentral's name for it is "partial 16S ribosomal RNA". It matches the Rfam family "Bacterial small subunit ribosomal RNA", at positions 524 to 776 of the family's 1533-position model. The record is from RNAcentral.
UACGUAGGUCCCGAGCGUUGUCCGGAUUUAUUGGGCGUAAAGCGAGCGCAGGUGGUUUAUUAAGUCUGGUGUAAAAGGCAGUGGCUCAACCAUUGUAUGCAUUGGAAACUGGUAGACUUGAGUGCAGGAGAGGAGAGCGGAAUUCCUAGUGUAGCGGUGAAAUGCGUAGAUAUUAGGAGGAACACCAGUGGCGAAGGCGGCCUGCUGGGCUUUAACUGACGCUGAGGCUCGAAAGCGUGGGUAGCAAACAGG